RNAcentral lists this ribosomal RNA (253 nucleotides) under uncultured bacterium. Its description in RNAcentral is "partial 16S ribosomal RNA". It matches the Rfam family "Bacterial small subunit ribosomal RNA", at positions 524 to 776 of the family's 1533-position model. The record is from RNAcentral.
UACGAAGGGUGCAAGCGUUACUCGGAAUUACUGGGCGUAAAGCGUGCGUAGGCGGUUUGUUAAGUCCGUUGUGAAAGCCCUGGGCUCAACCUGGGAAUUGCAGUGGAUACUGGCGAGCUAGAGUGCGGUAGAGGAUGGUGGAAUUCCCGGUGUAGCGGUGAAAUGCGUAGAGAUCGGGAGGAACACCAGUGGCGAAGGCGACUUCCUGGCCUGUUCUUGACGCUGAGGCGCGAAAGCUAGGGUAGCAAACGGG